RNAcentral lists this ribosomal RNA (524 nucleotides) under uncultured bacterium. RNAcentral's name for it is "partial 16S ribosomal RNA". It matches the Rfam family "Bacterial small subunit ribosomal RNA", at positions 355 to 874 of the family's 1533-position model. The record is from RNAcentral.
CUAAGAAUAUUCCGCAAUGGACGGAAGUCUGACGGAGCGACGCCGCGUGGAUGACGAAGGCCGAAAGGUUGUAAAGUUCUUUUGCUGGGGAAGAAUAACCGCAGGGGGGAAUGCCUGUGGGAUGACAAGAACCGGCGAAUAAGCCCCGGCCAACUACGUGCCAGCAGCCGCGGUAACACGUAGGGGGCGAGCGUUGUUCGGAAUUACUGGGCGUAAAGGGCAUGUAGGCGGCUUGGAAAGCCUGGCGUGAAAGUCUGCAGCUUAACUGCAGGGGUGCGCUGGGAACUGCUGAGCUUGAGUGACGGAGAGGGAGCUGGAAUUCCUGGUGUAGGGGUGAAAUCUGUAGAUAUCAGGAAGAACACCGAUGGCGAAGGCAAGCUCCUGGCCGAUGACUGACGCUGAGGUGCGAAAGUGUGGGGAUCAAACAGGAUUAGAUACCCUGGUAGUCCACACAGUCAACGAUGUGCACUAGGUGCUGGGGCGGUAGCUUCGGUGCCGGAGCGAACGUGGUAAGUGCACCGCCU